UGAGUAACGCGUGAGUAACCUGCCUUUCAGAGGGGGAUAACGUUCUGAAAAGAACGCUAAUACCGCAUGAGACUACAGAGCUGCAUGGCUCAGUGGUCGAAGGAGCAAUCCGCUGAAAGAUGGACUCGCGUCCGAUUAGAUAGUAGGCGGGGUAACGGCCCACCUAGUCGACGAUCGGUAGCCGGACUGAGAGGUUGAACGGCCACAUUGGGACUGAGACACGGCCCAGACUCCUACGGGAGCAGCAUG
RNAcentral lists this ribosomal RNA (249 nucleotides) under uncultured bacterium. RNAcentral describes it as "partial 16S ribosomal RNA". It matches the Rfam family "Bacterial small subunit ribosomal RNA", at positions 107 to 353 of the family's 1533-position model. The record is from RNAcentral.